UACGGGGGGGGCAAGCGUUGUCCGGAAUCACUGGGCGUAAAGGGCGCGUAGGCGGCUUGGUAAGUAGGGGGUGAAAUCUCACGGCUCAACUGUGAGGCUGCCUUCUAGACUGCCGGGCUUGAGCACAGUAGAGGCUGGUGGAAUUCCCGGUGUAGCGGUGGAAUGCGUAGAGAUCGGGAAGAACAUCUGUGGCGAAGGCGGCCAGCUGGGC
This 211-nucleotide ribosomal RNA is filed under the name uncultured prokaryote. RNAcentral describes it as "partial 16S ribosomal RNA". It matches the Rfam family "Bacterial small subunit ribosomal RNA", at positions 524 to 734 of the family's 1533-position model. The record is from RNAcentral.